RNAcentral lists this ribosomal RNA (449 nucleotides) under uncultured bacterium. RNAcentral's name for it is "partial 16S ribosomal RNA". It matches the Rfam family "Bacterial small subunit ribosomal RNA", at positions 330 to 793 of the family's 1533-position model. The record is from RNAcentral.
UCCAGACUCCUACGGGAGGCAGCAGUGGGGGAUAUUGCACAAUGGGGGGAACCCUGAUGCAGCGACGCCGCGUGGGUGAAGGAGCGUUUCGGCGCGUAAAGCCCUAUCGGCAGGGAAGAAGGAGGACGGUACCUGACUAAGAAGCCCCGGCUAACUACGUGCCAGCAGCCGCGGUAAUACGUAGGGGGCAAGCGUUAUCCGGAUUUACUGGGUGUAAAGGGGGCGCAGACGGCAGCGCAAGCCAGGAGUGAAAGCCCGGGGCCCAACCCCGGGACUGCUCUUGGAACUGCGCGGCUGGAGUGCAGGAGGGGCAGGCGGAAUUCCUGGUGUAGCGGUGAAAUGCGUAGAUAUCAGGAGGAACACCGGUGGCGAAGGCGGCCUGCUGGACUGCGACUGACGUUGAGGCCCGAAAGCGUGGGGAGCAAACAGGAUUAGAUACCCGCGUAACG